This 903-nucleotide ribosomal RNA is filed under the name uncultured delta proteobacterium. Its description in RNAcentral is "bacterial SSU rRNA". It matches the Rfam family "Bacterial small subunit ribosomal RNA", at positions 39 to 916 of the family's 1533-position model. The record is from RNAcentral. Lineage: Bacteria; Deltaproteobacteria.
GCAGGGCGGGGUCUACCAUGCAGUCGACGAGAAGUACGUAGCAAUACGUAUUGUAAAGUGGCGCACGGGUGAGUAACACGUGGGUAAUCUGCCCUUGAGUUUGGGAUAACCCCGCGAAAGCGGGGCUAAUACCGAAUAAGACCACGGGGACCAAAGUCCCUGAGGUAAAAGGUGGCCUCUAUUUAUAAGCUACCCCUUGAGGAUGAGCCCGCGGCCCAUUAGCUAGUUGGCAGGGUAAUGGCCUACCAAGGCAAUGAUGGGUAGCUGGUCUGAGAGGACGAUCAGCCACACUGGAACUGAGACACGGUCCAGACUCCUACGGGAGGCAGCAGUGGGGAAUAUUGCGCAAUGGGCGAAAGCCUGACGCAGCAACGCCGCGUGGGGGAUGAAGGUUUUCGGAUUGUAAACCCCUUUCGAUCGGAACGAAUCUCCUUCUGGUAAACAAUCAGGAGGGUUGACGGUACCGGGAGAAGAAGCCACGGCUAACUCUGUGCCAGCAGCCGCGGUAAGACAGAGGUGGCGAGCGUUGUUCGGAUUUAUUGGGCGUAAAGCGAACGCAGGUGGUUUGGUAAGUCAGAGGUGAAAGUCCGCAGCUUAACUGCGGCACUGCCUUUGAUACUGCCUUUCUUGAGUGCAUGAGGGGGAAGCGGAAUUCCGAGUGUAGAGGUGAAAUUCGUAGAUAUUCGGAGGAACACCGGUGGCGAAAGCGGCUUCCUGGCAUGUAACUGACACUCAUGUUCGAAAGCGUGGGUAGCAAACAGGAUUAGAUACCCUGAUAGUCCACGCCCUAAACGAUGGGCACUAUGUGUGGGAGGUAUCGACCCCUUCCGUGCCGCAGCUAACGCAUUAAGUGCCCCGCCUGGGGAGUACGGCCGCAAGGUUGAAACUCAAAGGAAUUGACGG